CUUAACUUUUGCUUUGGUCGUUAUUAUGCUUGUCCCCCACUAGCAUUCUACUAAUAUGAGUCCACCAUCCUAAGCAACAGAGAGUUCCCAGGACCCUUCUUCCCCCACAACAUUUUCCACAGAAGCAAACAAACUCUGAAAGAGGGAGCAAGGAGAGUUGGAUGGUUUCUUGGAUGCCACAUCAAGACAAGUAGUAGUUUUUCCCUUCCGUAGGAGCUGUGCAAGGCAUUAGAGUUGAUCCUGUACUGUAUUCGGAGCUGGCUGGAGACUCCUCAUAUAGAUCAGGUUGCCUACAAUGUUUUAACCAGCAAUUAGACACUCUAUGAUGUGCAGAACUUGCUUAAACCAGAAUAUCAAACCACGCAGUUUUUAUUACCUCCAAGAUGGUCGACUCCCAUCAUUACUACUCCUUAAAUCCUCUAUAAAGUCUUUAAAGUCUUCAAGUUGAAAAUCGAUGUCAGUGAAUCUGUAUCUGAGGAUAUCAUUUUCUUUCUGAUUCAAGAAGUCUUGAAGGACCUGAAAUCAUAUAUAUUGAAAAAUAUGAGGACAUACUAAAUCUGCAUGCACAGCAUCCAUUCCACUCAAAUAAGAAGUUUAGGGUCCUCUUCUUAAGUUUGUGAGGAACAGUGUAAUCAAUUCAACCUUUUCUUAA
Long non-coding RNA from Hevea brasiliensis (rubber tree), 652 nucleotides. RefSeq lists it as uncharacterized. The record is from RefSeq and is a predicted model, not a curated record. The transcript is spliced from 2 exons. NCBI's taxonomy places the organism in Eukaryota, Viridiplantae, Streptophyta, Magnoliopsida, Malpighiales, Euphorbiaceae.